CUGCUUCUGUCAUCCGUCGUCGCGUGGUAAUUUUUUAGAAAAGCCCCUGAUGUUUUUGCUAUUCAACCCGCAGUAUGUUUUUAAGUUGAAUAACGUUUCGUUUACACAUUUUGCAAGGCAAACCCUGUGGUUUCCUAUAUUCAACAUGCGGUCCUUUUGAAGUGAAAAAACAUGAAAACAUAUGGAUCUGGCCGAGGUAUCGAGAGAUCCGGCGGGUGGUGCGGCGGCUUGCUCCGGUGGCGGCGGUGUCC
RNAcentral lists this long non-coding RNA (251 nucleotides) under Hordeum vulgare. Its description in RNAcentral is "long non-coding RNA (HVUL_LNC009679)". Lineage: Eukaryota; Viridiplantae; Streptophyta; Magnoliopsida; Poales; Poaceae. The record is from RNAcentral.